GAUGGCAUCAUGAGUCCGCAUGUUCACAUGAUUAAAGGUAUUCCGGUAGACGAUGGGGAUGCGUUCCAUUAGAUAGUAGGCGGGGUAACGGCCCACCUAGUCUUCGAUGGAUAGGGGUUCUGAGAGGAAGGCCCCCCACACUGGGACUGAGACACGGCCCAGACUCCUACGGGAGGCAGCAGUGAGGAAUAUUGGUCAAUGGGCGGAAGCCUGAACCAGCCAUGCCGCGUGAAGGACUAAGGCCCUACGGGUCGUAAACUUCUUUAGACGCAGAGCAAUAAGGUCCACGUGUGGACCGAUGAGAGUAUGCGUAGAAUAAGCAUCGGCUAACUCCGUG
RNAcentral lists this ribosomal RNA (337 nucleotides) under uncultured bacterium. Its description in RNAcentral is "bacterial SSU rRNA". It matches the Rfam family "Bacterial small subunit ribosomal RNA", at positions 172 to 507 of the family's 1533-position model. The record is from RNAcentral.